UUCAAUUAGAUGCUGCAGAAAUUAAGUUUAUCACUUUCCAUCUUAAGUGUGGAUAACUGAGGUAUUUAAAAGCUGGAAUUAUGACACAGUUAAUAAAGUUCUGGUUGAUUUGAUUGUAAUCAUGCACCGGAGAAAGUUUACAUGAGAAUUCCAAGCAUGAAAUAGGAGUGGUAAACAGUGCAGCAGCUAAGGAGAUUAAAAAAUUGAAGAUAUGAUAUUAGGGAUUAUGAGAAAAUGUUAUAUGCAGCAUUUCCAUGAGCCCCUGCUACUUUCAAAUUAUAAAAUCACUUUUGGAGUCUUGUUUGUAAAUGGACUAUUCAAAAGACUAUAUAAUCUGUUAAUACUCCUUUGACAGUUUGGGAUUUUAAUUUAAAGUUCACUGCAUCUCAUAUACAUUGAAUAAUUGAAAAUUCUGUUCACUCUCAAAAAAUAAUGCAUCGCUUUUCCGUAUGUCUAUUAGGACAGACAUUCUGGUGACAUUUCCAUAUGAACCAUUUGUCUAAAAAAUAUUUAAUGUCUUCUCCUAUUAAAGCCUUGAUGUAUUGUGGUUAUGUAUACUUGUGUUGAUAUUACUGAUGUUAUUAUUUCUGAAUUUGUUAAUUGUUUGUAAUGCAGGAACCUCAGUUGAGUGCUAAUGAACCAUUCGAUGUGUAUACCAAGCCCUUCUCCUUAUAAGUAGUGAAACAGUAUAUUUGUGGUGAAGCUCUCGAUUUGAUUCAAGCAGGUGACUCCAGAUGUGUACAGUUUAUGGAGAAAACUCAAUUCUAUUAGGCGUUAGUGAUUUCUUCUCAAGUGGAGAGGCAAGGGAAGUCAAAGACAUUUCUGAUAGAUAACGAGAACAUUUUCUCCAAAUUUAAGUCUUCGUUUUCUAGAAAGAGUGAGUUAGGAAUUGUAACUAAUACGCUUGCCGAGAAAAAAGAGGUUUGAAAUGAUCGGCCAGUGAAAAAAGGGUCGCUUUAUACUUUAUA
Molecule: long non-coding RNA, 968 nt
Organism: Pistacia vera
Lineage: Eukaryota; Viridiplantae; Streptophyta; Magnoliopsida; Sapindales; Anacardiaceae
Exons: 2
Source: RefSeq, a predicted model, not a curated record